Molecule: microRNA precursor, 84 nt
Filed under: Bombyx mori (domestic silkworm)
Lineage: Eukaryota; Metazoa; Arthropoda; Insecta; Lepidoptera; Bombycidae
Description: mir-2807 microRNA precursor family
Rfam family: mir-2807 microRNA precursor family
Source: Rfam by way of RNAcentral
UUAACUCAAAUUUGUAUGGACUUGGAGCGUUGGUCUACGUUUGCUGCUAGUGACGCUUUUCCAACUGCAUACAAAUUUGAGUUA